This 1181-nucleotide long non-coding RNA is filed under the name Sus scrofa (pig). RNAcentral's name for it is "lncRNA (ENSSSCG00000045414.2)". The record is from RNAcentral. Lineage: Eukaryota; Metazoa; Chordata; Mammalia; Artiodactyla; Suidae.
AGACGCCGACUUUAGCGUUUCCGAGAUGAAGACGCCCUCGAGAAUACGGUUGAUUCAGUGGGGCGCCUGAGGAGACAUGCAGGUGGCCAACAGGCACAGGAAAAGAUGCCAGCAUCGCUAAUUAUCAGAGAAAUACAAACCAAAAUCACAGCGAGGUGCCACCCCACACUGGACAGAACGGCCAUCAUCAGAGGCUGCGGAUGGUAACGACCAGGGCGAGGCGGAGAAGAGGAACGUUCGUACCCUGUUCGGGGAGGCGUGAAGCGGCUCGGCCACUCCCGAAACCAGUACAGAGGUGCUGUAAAACCAAAAUUAGAGCUACCGUCUUAUCGAUUAAUCUUACUCCUGGGCCUCUAUCUGGAAAACAUGAAACUCUUCAUUUGAGAAGAUAACGCAUCCCGUGUUCAUAGCAGCACGAUUUAUAAUGGCAAAGACAUGGAAGCUCCCGAAGUGUUCGACAGCAUGUGAAUGAACAGAGAAGAUGUGGUACAAUAUAUGCAGUGGAAUAUUGCUCAGCCAUGAAAAAGAAUGAUGUGAUGCCAUUUUCAGCAACAUGGUGGACCUAGGAAAAUGUACUUGCCAAAGUAAGUCAAACAGGGAAGGACAGGCAUUACAGGACAUCAGGUACAUGCAGAAUCUAAAAAAAGAAUACAAAUGAAUCUAUGUACAAAAUAGAAGCAAACUCACGGAUACAGAAAAUGAAUUUACGGCUUCCAAAGGGGGGAGAGAGGGAAGGCGGGGUAAACUAGGAGCGUGGGGUUAACAAAUAUCAUUACACAGAAAAUACAGAAGUAACAAAGAUUUCCUGUGUAGCAGAUAUUACAUAUCUUGUAAUAACCUAUAGUGGAAUAUAAUCUGAAAAAAUAUAUGUAACCGAACCACUUUGCUGUAGCACUAAAAUUGACACAAUAGGAGUUCCCGUCAUGGCGCAGUGGUUAACGAAUCUGACCAGGAGCCAUGAGGUUGCGGGUUUGACCCUGGCCUUGCUCAGCGGGUUAAGGAUCCGGCGUUGCCGUGAGCUGUGGUGCAGGUUGCAGACACGGCUCGGAUCCUGCGUGCUGUGGCUCUGGCGUAGGCCGGUGGCUACAGCUCCGAUUCGACCCUUAGCCCGGGAACCUCCAUAUGCCGUGGAAGUGGCUCAAGAAAAGGCAAAAAGAUGAAAAAAUAAAUAAAUAAAAUUG